UGGUCCUACGGGAGGCAGCAGUGAGGAAUAUUGGUCAAUGGCCGGAAGGCUGAACCAGCCAAGCCGCGUGAAGGACGAAGGUGCCAAGCAUUGUAAACUUCCUUUGUCAAGGGACAAAAUCAGGCUCGAGAGCCUGACCGAGGGUACUUGAAGAAAAAGCAUCGGCUAACUCCGUGCCAGCAGCCGCGGUAAUACGGAGGAUGCGAGCGUUAUCCGGAUUUAUUGGGCUUAAAGGGUGCGUAGGCGGGCUGUUAAGUCAGCGGUCAAAGCCCGGGGCUCAACCCCGGCCCGCCGUUGAAACUGGG
This 305-nucleotide ribosomal RNA is filed under the name uncultured bacterium. Its description in RNAcentral is "bacterial SSU rRNA". It matches the Rfam family "Bacterial small subunit ribosomal RNA", at positions 334 to 637 of the family's 1533-position model. The record is from RNAcentral.